RNAcentral lists this ribosomal RNA (432 nucleotides) under uncultured Caulobacteraceae bacterium. RNAcentral describes it as "bacterial SSU rRNA". It matches the Rfam family "Bacterial small subunit ribosomal RNA", at positions 342 to 791 of the family's 1533-position model. Lineage: Bacteria; Pseudomonadati; Pseudomonadota; Alphaproteobacteria; Caulobacterales; Caulobacteraceae. The record is from RNAcentral.
CGGGGGGCAGCAGUGGGGAAUCUUGCGCAAUGGGCGAAAGCCUGACGCAGCCAUGCCGCGUGAAUGAUGAAGGUCUUAGGAUUGUAAAAUUCUUUCACCGGGGACGAUAAUGACGGUACCCGGAGAAGAAGCCCCGGCUAACUUCGUGCCAGCAGCCGCGGUAAUACGAAGGGGGCUAGCGUUGCUCGGAAUUACUGGGCGUAAAGGGAGCGUAGGCGGAUAGUUCAGUCAGAGGUGAAAGCCCAGGGCUCAACCUUGGAAUUGCCUUUGAUACUGGCUGUCUUGAGUGUGGGAGAGGUUAGCGGAACUCCGAGUGUAGAGGUGAAAUUCGUAGAUAUUCGGAAGAACACCAGUGGCGAAGGCGGCUAACUGGCCCAUUACUGACGCUGAGGCUCGAAAGCGUGGGGAGCAAACAGGAUUAGAUACCCCAGU